RNAcentral lists this ribosomal RNA (1378 nucleotides) under uncultured bacterium. RNAcentral's name for it is "bacterial SSU rRNA". It matches the Rfam family "Bacterial small subunit ribosomal RNA". The record is from RNAcentral.
AUCCUGGCUCAAGACGACUUUUGGCGGCGUGCCUAACACAUGCAAGUCGAGCGGAGUUACAUGAGGAGUAAUCUGAGUGUAACUGAGCGGCGAACGGGUGAGUAACGCGUAAGCAAUCUGCCCCACAAUCGGGAACAACCGUGCCAACGCGCGGCUAAUGCCGGAUAUUGUAGUCUACUGCAUAGUAGGCCAACGAAAUAUUUAUUGUUGUGGGAUGAGCUUGCGUCCGAUUAGCUAGUUGGCGGGGUAAUACCCCACCAAGGCGACGAUCGGUAGCCGGCCUGAGAGGGUGAUCGGCCACAUUGGGACUGAGAUACGGCCCAGACUCCUACGGGAGGCAGCAGUAGGGAAUAUUGCGCAGUGGGGGGAACCCUGACGCAGCAACGCCACGUGUGGGAAGAAGCAUUUCGGUGUGUAAACCACUGUCGGAAAGGAAUAACGGAAGACUUCGGUCUUUAUGAAUGUACUUUUAGAGGAAGCACCGGCAAACUUCGUGCCAGCAGCCGCGGUAAUACGAGGGGUGCAAGCGUUGUUCGGAAUCACUGGGCGUAAAGGGAGCGUAGGCGGAAGUGCAAGCAAUCUGUAUAAUCCUGGGGCCCAACCCCAGUUCUGCAGAUUGGACUGUAUUUCUUGAAUAGUUCAGAGGCAAGCGGAAUUUCUGGUGUAGCGGUGGAAUGCGUAGAGAUCAGAAAGAACACCAAUGGCGAAGGCAGCUUGCUGGGGACUUAUUGACGCUGAGGCUCGAAAGUGUGGGUAGCAAACAGGAUUAGAUACCCUGGUAGUCCACACUGUAACCGAAACAGGGUGGGUGUCCGAAAUUCGUUUCGGGUACCGUAGCUAACGCGUUAAGUAUGCCGCCUGGGGAGUACGUACGCAAGUAUGAAACUCAAAGGAAUUGACGGGGGCCCGCACAAGCGGUGGAGCAUGUGGUUUAAUUCGAUGCAACGCGCAGAACCUUACCAGGGUUUGACAUCCCCGGCAAAGCUAUAGAAAUAUAGUGGAGGUUAUCCGGGUGACAGAUGGUGCAUGGUUGUCGUCAGCUCGUGUCGUGAGAUGUUUGGUUAAGUCCAACAACGAGCGCAACCCUCGUCUUUAGUUACUAACAUUUAGUUGAGAACUCUAAAGAUACUGCCGAUGUAAGCCGGAGGAAGGUGAGGAUGACGUCAAAUCAUCAUGCCUCUUACAUCUAGGGCUACAGGCGUGCUACAAUGGCCGAUACAACGAGUCGCAACACAGUGAUGUGAAGCUAAUCUCUUAAAGUCGGUCUCAGUUCGGAUUGGAGUCUGCAACUCGACUCCAUGAAGCUGGAAUCGCUAGUAAUCCCGAAUCAGAAUGUCGGGGUGAAUACGUUCCCGGGUGUUGCACACACCGCCCGUCA